Molecule: non-coding RNA, 321 nt
Organism: Cyanistes caeruleus (blue tit)
Lineage: Eukaryota; Metazoa; Chordata; Aves; Passeriformes; Paridae
Source: RefSeq, a predicted model, not a curated record
CCAAUCCCUGCGGCAGACCGAGGUGCCAGAGCUGCCAAACUUCCCCUCGUCCCUGUGCCAUGGAGGGGUUUGGUUUCAUUGAAAUUCCCUGAGAUCGGUGAUAAAUGGGAUGUGCUGAGUGGGAUCGUGAUGGUUCAAGAGCGUGGGGAAAAGCAAAAAUGCUUCCAGCAGGCUGGAAAAUAUCCCUGGAGCAGGAUCCCCAGGCAGUAGGAAGUGCAAAAGGAAGCAAAGAUGCUGCGUUUGGUAUGAAUCCAAACAGUUUGGGGAUGGGGGGCACCAAAAAAAGUGGAUUUCCAGUGGAUUUGGAGUCUGUGCUGCUGA